UACAGAGGUCUCAAGCGUUGUUCGGAUUCAUUGGGCGUAAAGGGUGCGUAGGCGGCGCGGUAAGUCGGGUGUGAAAUCUUGGAGCUUAACUCCGAAACUGCAUUCGAUACUGCCGUGCUUGAGGACUGGAGAGGAGACUGGAAUUCACGGUGUAGCAGUGAAAUGCGUAGAUAUCGUGAGGAAGACCAGUGGCGAAGGCGGGUCUCUGGACAGUUCCUGACGCUGAGGCGCGAAGGCCAGGGGAGCAAACGGG
Molecule: ribosomal RNA, 253 nt
Filed under: uncultured bacterium
Lineage: Bacteria
Description: partial 16S ribosomal RNA
Rfam family: Bacterial small subunit ribosomal RNA
Source: RNAcentral